Long non-coding RNA from Dermochelys coriacea (leatherback sea turtle), 819 nucleotides. RefSeq lists it as uncharacterized. The record is from RefSeq and is a predicted model, not a curated record. NCBI's taxonomy places the organism in Eukaryota, Metazoa, Chordata, Testudines, Dermochelyidae. The transcript has 3 exons.
UGUCUCAAUGAGUUUGCAACCAACUAACUGAAUCAAUUUCAAGAGAGCAGUUGAAACAAAGCAGCUGAAAACUGAAUCAAAUAAGAACAAACAUUUUGUUAGUGCAAGCUUCUUCACGCUGCUGACCUGCCUUCCUUCCCAUCACCAGUUUGCCUCAGUCAUAACCUCAUUAAGGACAUACCACUUCUAGGGAUGAGAAGGAUGGAUGGGAGCACAUGAGGGAAACCAGCACCCCAAGCCCGUCCAGAAUGGGAGGGAGUGUGAUGAGGCAUACAAACCCCAUAGUGGCAAGAAGGUGGUUAAUGAGAGAAUAUGGACUCAUUUGGGUCCACCCCGCUACACAUGUAGCAGAUGUCAAGAAGGGAGUUUAAAAGAGACGACCUACCUCAGUUUGGGACUGAGCAGGAAGGAGAGCAGAGCUCUGCUUUUCUCUUUCUGACGGCAGACUGGUUUCAGGCAAGAGUCUGGAACAAUCCUCUCAGUGGAUAUAAUGACUAGGCCCAGGAAGACUGACUAAAAGGGCUGGCUGUAUGAAGAUAAGCCCUGAGUAGCAGAGUGGGGUCCUACUGAAGAUUUUGGGUCUAUAGUAUUUUUGGGGAGACUUUAAUAUUGCAGAAGGGGGGAACUUGAAUCAUGUUCUGGCCUGAGGGCCAAGUCACAGGUGGAUCUCUGAAAGACAAGACCAGCUGUCACCCAGCUGCACCAGAUGGGGAGACAGCUACUAUACCAUGCCUAGCCACGAGGAGACAUUCCAGUGGUAAGUCUACUAUUUCAUAGUACUGUACACUUUAGAGAAAUUAUGAUGAAUAUCUACAAGGA